Molecule: non-coding RNA, 111 nt
Filed under: Clostridium sp.
Lineage: Bacteria; Bacillati; Bacillota; Clostridia; Eubacteriales; Clostridiaceae
Also listed under: 1 other name
Description: SAM-I sequence
Rfam family: SAM riboswitch aptamer (S box leader)
About the family: The SAM riboswitch is found upstream of a number of genes which code for proteins involved in methionine or cysteine biosynthesis in Gram-positive bacteria. The SAM riboswitch acts at the level of transcription termination control.
Source: RNAcentral
GACUUAUCAAGAGUGGUGGAGGGACUGGCCCGAUGAAACCCGGCAACCAAUAUAUAUUAUUGUGAUAUAUAUAAGGUGCUAAAUCCUGCAGCGUAAGCUGAGAGAUGAGGG